UAUGUAGUCCAGAUGCAGCGAUCUGUCC
RNAcentral lists this non-coding RNA (28 nucleotides) under Mus musculus (house mouse). The record is from RNAcentral. Lineage: Eukaryota; Metazoa; Chordata; Mammalia; Rodentia; Muridae.